GAUGAACGCUGGCGGCGUGCCUAAUACAUGCAAGUCGAGCGAACAGAUGAGGAGCUUGCUCCUCUGACGUUAGCGGCGGACGGGUGAGUAACACGUGGAUAACCUACCUAUAAGACUGGGAUAACUUCGGGAAACCGGAGCUAAUACCGGAUAAUAUAUUGAACCGCAUGGUUCAAUAGUGAAAGACGGUUUUGCUGUCACUUAUAGAUGGAUCCGCGCCGCAUUAGCUAGUUGGUAAGGUAACGGCUUACCAAGGCAACGAUGCGUAGCCGACCUGAGAGGGUGAUCGGCCACACUGGAACUGAGACACGGUCCAGACUCCUACGGGAGGCAGCAGUAGGGAAUCUUCCACAAUGGGCGAAAGCCUGACGGAGCAACGCCGCGUGAGUGAUGAAGGUCUUCGGAUCGUAAAACUCUGUUAUUAGGGAAGAACAAAUGUGUAAGUAACUAUGCACGUCUUGACGGUACCUAAUCAGAAAGCCCCGGCUAACUACGUG
Molecule: ribosomal RNA, 497 nt
Filed under: uncultured bacterium
Lineage: Bacteria
Description: partial 16S ribosomal RNA
Rfam family: Bacterial small subunit ribosomal RNA
Source: RNAcentral